This 445-nucleotide ribosomal RNA is filed under the name uncultured bacterium. RNAcentral's name for it is "bacterial SSU rRNA". It matches the Rfam family "Bacterial small subunit ribosomal RNA", at positions 29 to 490 of the family's 1533-position model. The record is from RNAcentral.
AUUGAACGCUGGCGGCAUGCUUUACACAUGCAAGUCGAACGGUAACAGGGAGCUUGCUCCGCUGACGAGUGGCGAACGGGUGAGUAAUGCAUCGGAACGUACCCAGUCGUGGGGGAUAACGUAGCGAAAGUUACGCUAAUACCGCAUACGUCCUGAGGGAGAAAGCGGGGGACCGUAAGGCCUCGCGCGAUUGGAGCGGCCGAUGUCGGAUUAGCUAGUUGGUAGGGUAAAGGCCUACCAAGGCGACGAUCCGUAGCGGGUCUGAGAGGAUGAUCCGCCACACUGGGACUGAGACACGGCCCAGACUCCUACGGGAGGCAGCAGUGGGGAAUUUUGGACAAUGGGCGAAAGCCUGAUGCAGCGACGCCGCGUGAGGGAUGACGGCCUUCGGUUGUAAACCUCUUUCAGCAGGGAAGAAGCGAAGUGACGGUACCUGCAGAAGAAG